RNAcentral lists this ribosomal RNA (240 nucleotides) under uncultured bacterium. Its description in RNAcentral is "partial 16S ribosomal RNA". It matches the Rfam family "Bacterial small subunit ribosomal RNA", at positions 94 to 334 of the family's 1533-position model. The record is from RNAcentral.
AGUGGCGGACGGGUGAGUAACGCGUGGAUAACCUGCCUCACACUGGGGGAUAACAGUUGGAAACGGCUGCUAAUACCGCAUAAGCGCACAGUACCGCAUGGUACGGUGUGAAAAACUCCGGUGGUAUGAGAUGGACCCGCGUCUGAUUAGGUAGUUGGUGGGGUAACGGCCUACCAAGCCGACGAUCAGUAGCCGACCUGAGAGGGUGACCGGCCACAUUGGGACUGAGACACGGCCCAA